Molecule: ribosomal RNA, 587 nt
Filed under: uncultured bacterium
Lineage: Bacteria
Description: bacterial SSU rRNA
Rfam family: Bacterial small subunit ribosomal RNA
Source: RNAcentral
CCUACGGGAGGCAGCAGUGGGGAAUUUUGGACAAUGGGGGCAACCCUGAUCCAGCCAUUCCGCGUGAGUGAAGAGGGCCUUCGGGUUGUAAAGCUCUUUCGCAAGGGAAGAAAACUUAUGAUCGAAUAAAUCAUGAGGUUGACGGUACCUUGAUAAGAAGCACCGGCUAACUACGUGCCAGCAGCCGCGGUAAUACGUAGGGUGCGAGCGUUAAUCGGAAUUACUGGGCGUAAAGCGUGCGCAGGCGGUUUUGUAAGUCGGAUGUGAAAUCCCCGGGCUCAACCUGGGAACUGCGUUCGAAACUGCAAGGCUAGAGUGUGUCAGAGGGGGGUAGAAUUCCACGUGUAGCAGUGAAAUGCGUAGAGAUGUGGAGGAAUACCAAUGGCGAAGGCAGCCCCCUGGGAUAACACUGACGCUCAUGCACGAAAGCGUGGGGAGCAAACAGGAUUAGAUACCCUGGUAGUCCACGCCCUAAACGAUGUCAACUAGUUGUUGGUAGAGUAAAAUCUAUGAGUAACGUAGCUAACGCGUGAAGUUGACCGCCUGGGGAGUACGGUCGCAAGNUUAAACUUCAAAGGAAUUGACGG